This 301-nucleotide ribosomal RNA is filed under the name uncultured bacterium. RNAcentral describes it as "partial 16S ribosomal RNA". It matches the Rfam family "Bacterial small subunit ribosomal RNA", at positions 509 to 807 of the family's 1533-position model. The record is from RNAcentral.
CAGUCGCCGCGGUAAUACGUAGGUGGCAAGCGUUGUCCGGAAUUAUUGGGCGUAAAGGGCUCGCAGGCGGUUUCUUAAGUCUGAUGUGAAAGCCCCCGGCUCAACCGGGGAGGGUCAUUGGAAACUGGGAAACUUGAGUGCAGAAGAGGAGGGUGGAAUUCCACGUGUAGCGGUGAAAUGCGUAGAGAUGUGGAGGAACACCAGUGGCGAAGGCGACUCUCUGGUCUGUAACUGACGCUGAGGAGCGAAAGCGUGGGGAGCGAACAGGAUUAGAUACCCGGGUAGUCCCUGUCUCUUAUAC